RNAcentral lists this ribosomal RNA (253 nucleotides) under uncultured bacterium. RNAcentral's name for it is "partial 16S ribosomal RNA". It matches the Rfam family "Bacterial small subunit ribosomal RNA", at positions 524 to 776 of the family's 1533-position model. The record is from RNAcentral.
UACGUAGGUGGCAAGCGUUAUCCGGAUUUACUGGGUGUAAAGGGCGUGUAGGCGGGACUGCAAGUCAGAUGUGAAAACCACGGGCUCAACCUGUGGCCUGCAUUUGAAACUGUAGUUCUUGAGUACUGGAGAGGCAGACGGAAUUCCUAGUGUAGCGGUGAAAUGCGUAGAUAUUAGGAGGAACACCAGUGGCGAAGGCGGUCUGCUGGACAUUAACUGACGCUGAGGCGCGAAAGCGUGGGGAGCAAACAGG